GAUGAACGCUGGCGGCGUGCCUAAUACAUGCAAAUCGAGCGAACGGACGAGAAGCUUGCUUCUCUGAUGUUAGCGGCGGACGGGUGAGUAACACGUGGAUAACCUACCUAUAAGACUGGGAUAACUUCGGGAAACCGGAGCUAAUACCGGAUAAUAUUUUGAACCGCAUGGUUCAAAAGUGAAAGACGGUCUUGCUGUCACUUAUAGAUGGAUCCGCGCUGCAUUAGCUAGUUGGUAAGGUAACGGCUUACCAAGGCAACGAUGCAUAGCCGACCUGAGAGGGUGAUCGGCCACACUGGAACUGAGACACGGUCCAGACUCCUACGGGAGGCAGCAGUAGGGAAUCUUCCGCAAUGGACGAAAGCCUGACGGAGCAACGCCGCGUGAGUGAUGAAGGUCUUCGGAUCGUAAAACUCUGUUAUUAGGGAAGAACAUAUGUGUAAGUAACUGUGCACAUCUUGACGGUACCUAAUCAGAAAGCCACGGCUAACUACGUG
RNAcentral lists this ribosomal RNA (497 nucleotides) under uncultured bacterium. RNAcentral describes it as "partial 16S ribosomal RNA". It matches the Rfam family "Bacterial small subunit ribosomal RNA", at positions 28 to 507 of the family's 1533-position model. The record is from RNAcentral.